This 281-nucleotide ribosomal RNA is filed under the name uncultured prokaryote. Its description in RNAcentral is "partial 16S ribosomal RNA". It matches the Rfam family "Bacterial small subunit ribosomal RNA", at positions 355 to 629 of the family's 1533-position model. The record is from RNAcentral.
UCGCGAAUUUUUCUCAAUGGGCGCAAGCCUGAAGAAGCCAUGCCGCGUGCGGGACGAAGGCCCUCUGGGUUGUAAACCGCUGUCAGGGAAGGGGAAAUGGUUGGUGUUAACAGCAUCAAUUUUGACUGCUUUCCAAAGGAAGCCCCGGCAAAACAUGUGCCAGCAGCCGCGGUAAUACAUGUGGGGCCAGCGUUGUUCGGAAUCACUGGGCAUAAAGGGUGCGUAGGCGGCGAGAUACGUCUUGGGUGAAAUCCUUCGGCCCAACCGGAGGUCUGCCUGAG